AAAAGAAAAAGAAAAAGAAAGAAUGAAGGCCCAUCUUGAUGUUGACAUGAAUGCAAGCAAGCUAAGAGACUUGUGUUGUAUGAAUGAUGAGAGAGAAAGAGGUAAUUUACUGAUUGUUUUAUAUACUAACUUAAAAACAAAAUGUCGAAAGCAUCGUCUUUAAAGCUGCAAUUAAUGUCCGAAAAUUUACUUCAUAGCUUUUGAAAGCUUGUGUCAGUAAAUCUCCACAUUCUCGCAAUCGCCAUUCAUUUCCGUU
This 256-nucleotide long non-coding RNA is filed under the name Salvia miltiorrhiza (redroot sage). Its description in RNAcentral is "long non-coding RNA (SMIL_LNC002598)". The record is from RNAcentral. Lineage: Eukaryota; Viridiplantae; Streptophyta; Magnoliopsida; Lamiales; Lamiaceae.